Daphnia carinata is the source of this 589-nucleotide long non-coding RNA. RefSeq lists it as uncharacterized. NCBI's taxonomy places the organism in Eukaryota, Metazoa, Arthropoda, Branchiopoda, Diplostraca, Daphniidae. The transcript is spliced from 3 exons. The record is from RefSeq and is a predicted model, not a curated record.
AGUAAGGUCUGCAGCAUUUUCAAGCAAUUCCAAGGAUGGUCAAUUUAUUUUGCUAUUACCCAAACAAAUAGUAAACUAUAGUGAGUUGUUUAUUUAAAAAGCAAGUGAAAUGGAGUUACGGAUGAGAUUAGAGAAGAGCAAAGUUUACUUUCGGAUCUGAUGUUGCUGUUUUUAUAGCUUUUCUACCACUUUCCUAGAAAUGUCGGAAGAUUACACAGGCAAGCAAAGCCUAUUAAUGGAGAGGCAAUGCAACAUCAACCUAAGACGCACACCUCCAGAAUACCGAAGAGUCCUAUUGUGUUUGAACACACUACUUCAGUGAAUUUAAUACUGGAAAACACCACCGACAGAUCUUUGGUCAAACUUUUUCAAAAUUGUAAGUUUUGACUUUGCCCGUCGCCUUGCCCGGUCUCCCGUCUUCACUUCGCCCGUCUUCACCUCGCCCGUCUUCACCUCGCCCAUCACUCCGUCAUCGCACCGUGGUUGCGCCGUCUUCGCAUCGUGGUCGUCACGUUUUCGCUUCGCCCGUCGCCCCCGGCUUCACCACGUGGUCGCCCCGUCUUUGUCUCGCCCGUCCCCCCGUCUUCGC